Molecule: ribosomal RNA, 253 nt
Filed under: uncultured bacterium
Lineage: Bacteria
Description: partial 16S ribosomal RNA
Rfam family: Bacterial small subunit ribosomal RNA
Source: RNAcentral
UACGGAGGAUCCAAGCGUUAUCCGGAUUUAUUGGGUUUAAAGGGUGCGUAGGUGGCUUUUUAAGUCAGGGGUGAAAGACGGUAGCUUAACUAUCGCAGUGCCUUUGAUACUGAAGAGCUUGAAUGAACUAGAGGUAGGCAGAAUGUGACAAGUAGCGGUGAAAUGCAUAGAUAUGUCACAGAACACCAAUUGCGAAGGCAGCUUACUAUGGUUUUAUUGACACUGAGGCACGAAAGCGUGGGGAUCAAACAGG